Long non-coding RNA from Ctenopharyngodon idella (grass carp), 3173 nucleotides. RefSeq lists it as uncharacterized. NCBI's taxonomy places the organism in Eukaryota, Metazoa, Chordata, Actinopteri, Cypriniformes, Xenocyprididae. The record is from RefSeq and is a predicted model, not a curated record. The transcript is spliced from 8 exons.
UGUUUUUGGUGGCUUUUUUCAUCAAACGGAAAGACAUUUUCUGAACCAAUGACACUUCCGGAGUGGCUGUGACUGGUCUUACGCCUGGAACAAAAAACAGAAAUGAGUUUUAUUGCCUAAAUUCAUUACGCUUAGAACAGAUCAAACCGACGCUCUGGCUUCUGCUGCAGAAGAGAGCAGAUCAAAAGGCAGCAUUCUGUGCAGAAAGAUGGAGAGAUGUCUGAUUAUUACCGUAAACUUUACAUCCACUCUACAGAAUCCUUACUCUAAGAUCUUCAGGUCAGAAAGACCACAAAUGUCUGCAUUAUCUAUACGGCCAUCUCCUAUAAAGCCUAUGAAGUUUAGUAUUAGAAUUGUACUUGAAGUAAUAAACAAAUCACCUUCUGUCAAGGUAUUCUGAAAAGCAUUCUGAACAAAAGGAUCCCCAGAGACCAGACCAUCGCCGACUUUCCAUGAAACUCGCCCUUCAUCUUGUACUCGUGAGGGCAGUACAUCACUGUGCCUGGAGGAAACAGAGUUUGUCCCAUGUAAUAAGAGAUGUGUUUGGACAGUUACACCCAGGGACGUGCGGACUGACAUUGGCUGUAGUGAUGGACAUCUGCUCAUGGAUGGGCAAAAGCAUAACCCCUGCUGGACAUCGUGCUGGAGCUUAGGGGGAACCCUGUGAUCUCCUGCACCUUCUCACUCACGCCACACCUUCACAUCGCUGAGAUCUGGCUGGGAUCGAACCAGCAACCUCUGAACCCAUGAGGCAGCGCUCUUAACCUGACAGUAGAGCACAGAUGGGAAAGGGAGUGUGGUCAAGACAUGAUGGGACUAACACAGACAGAAAAAGACAUUCUACGCCCUGAGUUAAAAGAGGUCAUGGCCAAUCACCCGACACAUUCUAAGCUGUAAGCGGCCAGAACAUGAUGAAUGAUGGAAUACGUUUCAGAUACUAGGAAACUAGGUCUAUCAAAUAAGAGAGAGAAACAAAAUGUGCAGCACUGUGAGUCCCCAGGACUGGAGUUGAGCGCUACAAACAGUCAUCACUGUAGAUCCAUUCCAACAGAAGUCAUCUAAUAAGAAAAAAAAUCAAGAGGUUAUUUACCAGAUGUUGCAUUGAUUUGAAAGUGCUUCAUCCCAUAAAUGCCGUAUUCAGUGAGUAAACACAAAUGUAUAUGCCUUAUGUUUUGUAGGACAAAUAUUUUAUCAUUCAUGUCAUGACCUGUUUGCAGUUGAUAUUACUUGUCUCCAUAGCCAAACAUUUCUGCAAUAAUUGCCAUUGACCGAUAAAAGUAUAUUCUUCACAGAAAUUCAAAUUUCAGGUUGUUUACUGUUUAAAUGCUGUCUAAAAUCAUCUUAUUUUUUUAAUGUCACAUGAUGGGCCUCCAAAGUAAUUAGGAAAUUUGCCGAUCCGAUCUAAUAGUCUGCUAUUAGAGCCACAUCCUCUACCUGCAGUGGCGUUUUUUAAAUGAAUCAGUGUUUUGAACAAAUCAGUUGAAUGAAUGAUUCUUGAGUCACUCACUUGUUUGGUUACUGAAUGAAUCGCCACCUACUGGCAUAUAGAUGUAGACACGCGGAGUGAUACAAACAGUAAAAAGUCCCUACGCUGUUGGACUGAAUAUCAACUUCGGAACUAACUGAUGUAUUAUAUAAUAUAUCUACUGUGAGUAGAGUAAAUGUAUAGAUAUCAGUAAAAUGUGAUUAAAACAAUAUAUUUCUAUCCUUAGGGGGCCAAUUUAGGUACAUUCCCACUGAAAUGCAUUCUUUACUACAAGACGUGAAAGCGGCAUAGAGCUUUUACCAUUUGCAGGUGUAUAAAUCCCAAGUCCUACUGCUGUUUUCAUAUUUUAUUGCAGAUACACUUAUUGUCCACAAGGGGAGCUGACACACUGAUCUGAUCAUGUCUGUUUAAUCAAUCAGUAAAUAGCCACUUUUAGAAAAUUUAGUCAGUAAUAUCAGUAAAAUUUAGUCGUAAUAUCAGUCAUUAGUUUACAGAUUUAGACAGUCAUUUUGAUGAAAAGUAAUGAUUUGCCUUGAUCCGCCCUAUGUUUCACAUACCCUAUCAUGCUUUAUUAUAAAUACUGCUUAAACCUUGAACUGACACAACACGAAAGCAUUGUUUAACUGUGAACAAAUAUGAUGCAUAUUUUAAAUAACUGAAGACAAACAAACAGCUACUUAAAACAUACUAAAAAACAUACAAAAAGAAGAAACUCGACCCGUAUUUUACGUAUUUACACUUUGAGCACGUGCCUUUGAGUAAAACACAUUUCAUCAGUUUUACCCCAUCAGUUGAGAGCUGAUCUGGUUCAUUUUCUGAAACUGGUAGAUCCAUGUUGCUCUGCUGGUCAAGACCCUGACAAAAUCAUAGAUUUGUCGGAAAAUAUAUGAAAUGCACGUUUCAGUCUCGCCUACUACUAUACUGGCCGCCAUCUCGGGUUUGUCGUUUCAAUUAAUAAUAUUGAUACACUUAUUGGCCACAAGAGGGAGCCGGUGAUCACCUGUUUGUCACUUGCCUUUCACUUAUUUAUCAAAAACAGGGACGUUUGGUCGAGUAUGAACAUGUAAAAAAAAAUAAAAAAUACGCGUGACGUUUUGAAAUAUAGUCAGUAGUGAUACAAUUUUGAGUCUGUUGGCCUUGUAAUACGACUCGUUUAGUAGAAACUGAAGUGCAGUUUUCCAUCCGCUCCUCUAGGGUGCGUAAACGAGUUUCAAGUUCAGUUUGACAGAUUCAUAUGCUUGACAACAUGACGCUUGUUACAGUCGCCACAACACGUGCAGACCUUUUAAACUACAUAAGCUGCAAAUGACAGCUCAGUGACACUAUUUUAAUGUCACUCAACAACAUAUUCAAACAAAUCCGACACGCGCUGCGUUAAAGUUCAGGAAGCAAAGAUGUCACGCGACUCACCUGAUAAAGGAUGUGUUUGGAGCGUACAGUCAACAGAAGCAGAGCACUGGGACGUGUGGACAGACAUUCACUGUAAUGAUUGACGUGUACAGGUAAGACUUUUAACGUGCGAAUGUGUGUCAUUUGGCGCUAAACAUGUAGGUUAUUAUCAAUUUCUUUUUGGAGGGUCACUCUAAAAAGCAAAUGAUGGUAACCUAAAUAGGCGGGGAAGGGAUGGCAGGCCAAAAUUUUUAUACAGCUAAAUUUUUUUCAUUGUAUCAAGAAGCAUAACCACUGC